Molecule: long non-coding RNA, 1381 nt
Filed under: Mytilus galloprovincialis (Mediterranean mussel)
Lineage: Eukaryota; Metazoa; Mollusca; Bivalvia; Mytilida; Mytilidae
Source: RNAcentral
AGAUAGAAAACAGCAGGGAAAUAAUAUUCAUUAAAAUGGCAUGUCCCUUCAAGUUCCAAAUUAGAAAAAGAAAGCUCUGACACGUGCGCUUACACACAAGUUUGGAAACUUUGUUGUUCUUCUAACUGUACUUAAUCUUAAUCGGAAAAACAUCAAUGAAUUUGGUUAGCAGUUUGGUCUUGUCCCACUUAACUUUAGAGUCCAAUCCUCUUGUCUAAAAUAACUUCUUGAUUUAGGGAUUAAACAAUGUACCCUUUUUCUGGUCAUUAUGAGUCAGCUACAAAACUGUGGCCCUCAUGUAACUGUUUGAUACUGAUCCUCUGAAAAUUCCUUUGCAUGAUUUGCACUUCAUCAGCAAUCUCCUGUACAGUGGUUGAUUUUUGUGUUAUGUAAAUGAAAUAUAUUGAGUCUGUAGAAAUGUAAGUGUUGUUUUAUUUUGCAUAACCUUUCACAUGUACAAACAUGUAUCAUUUCUAUGAUUAAUAAAAAAAAAAAGAAAAGUAUUCAUCGUCUCUUGGUAUCUUUGAUUACUUUACAUGUACAUCAUACACUACCGAUAAAUAUAUGCAUUUCUGGACAAGUUUCCGUUUAUUAAAGUGAGAACUUACAUUGUUUAGCUGCAAUAAAAAAAACACACACACUAUAACGAAUUAAUAAAAUUGGUAAACGACAAUAGAGCAGACAACAGCCGAAGUCAACCAAUGGGUCUUUAAUGUAGCGAGAAACUCCCCCACCCGGGGGCGUCUUUCAUCUUGCCCCGUUAAAAAAAAAUGUGCAUUAGUUCAGUGUUAAACUCCGAAUUGUACACAAGAAACUAAAAUUAAAAAUCAUUCAAGACUAUCAAAGGCAAGAGGCUCCUGACUUGGGACAGGCGCAAAAUUGCUUAAAAACAUACUUAAAUGAAUAUUCAGUGAUGCAUUAAAACACACUUACCAAUUACAUUUCAACACGAGCUAGAAGUGUUUAGAAACGUACUAUGCGGUGCAAGAUUGGUAUUAUAAGGUAGUCUCUACCAAAAGGCAGAUAAACAACCUUUCUCUGGAAAUCAUGAUGGUCCAAUAAAAUCAUUUAACCUCUCCCUAUAACUUUAAGCAAUAAGAUGUACAUUAUCUCAAGUCAUAUGGAUUUUUGUGGUAUGUGUCUACACUAAGCUUUUUCCAAUUCAUGCAACCGGUUUGCUACUUGUGAAAUAUGAUUUUGAGCGUUAUUUACCUUUUCAUUAAUUUCUGAAGUGAUCUUAUCCCUUUACAGGCCUCUGGUUAACCAGAUAUUUAUUGAGAUGGCGACCCUAUUGCAAUAGUCAUUAUAUUGACCAUUCCUGCCCAAUUACCAGCACGGCAUGUUUGUAGUGGUAUGUUAUAGCAUCUCCCUUAUUUUCAGC